Molecule: ribosomal RNA, 166 nt
Filed under: Solanum hieronymi
Lineage: Eukaryota; Viridiplantae; Streptophyta; Magnoliopsida; Solanales; Solanaceae
Also listed under: 3 other names
Description: 5.8S ribosomal RNA
Rfam family: 5.8S ribosomal RNA
About the family: 5.8S ribosomal RNA (5.8S rRNA) is a component of the large subunit of the eukaryotic ribosome. It is transcribed by RNA polymerase I as part of the 45S precursor that also contains 18S and 28S rRNA.
Source: RNAcentral
CAAAACGACUCUCGGCAACGGAUAUCUCGGCUCUCGCAUCGAUGAAGAACGUAGCGAAAUGCGAUACUUGGUGUGAAUUGCAGAAUCCCGUGAACCAUCGAGUCUUUGAACGCAAGUUGCGCCCGAAGCCGUCAGGCCGAGGGCACGCCUGCCUGGGCGUCACGCA